ACCCACGAGCAGAUCCCCAGUGUGCUGUGGCACCCUGGACACAGGCAGGUGGAGGGCAUGUGAGUGUACAAUAUUGAUAUCCUCAGUUUGCCCUGCCUGGGGGAAAACCUCCAAAAGGUCUCUGGUUCAGUCGAGCUCCUGAGACCUACUGUGAACUUAGCAGUCUGUGGUGGGGAACUGAUCUGUCACAACACAUGAGGAUAAGCCCCAUCUGUGCUCCCUGAAGCCAUCAGUUUGGGAGCUGCUCUAAGCUAGUAGGGUUCUGCUUCCCUGCUCUGGGAGUUGUCCAAGAGCAUGAUCAAUCACUGAAUGAACCCAGGGAGGUGGUCACAGCAAGAAGCCUGAGAGAGUUCAAGAGAAGAGCCUUGGACAGCUUGGACCAUGCUCUCAGGCACAUGGUGUGAGUCCUGGGGCUGUCCUGUGCAGAGCCAGGAGCAGACUCAAUGAUUCCCAUUGAUCCAUUCCUGCUCAAUGCGUUCUAUGAUUUCGUGAAAUAAAUGUUAACCCUGAUCCAGCUGAAA
Molecule: long non-coding RNA, 521 nt
Organism: Cyanistes caeruleus (blue tit)
Lineage: Eukaryota; Metazoa; Chordata; Aves; Passeriformes; Paridae
Source: RefSeq, a predicted model, not a curated record